RNAcentral lists this ribosomal RNA (233 nucleotides) under uncultured bacterium. RNAcentral describes it as "partial 16S ribosomal RNA". It matches the Rfam family "Bacterial small subunit ribosomal RNA", at positions 104 to 334 of the family's 1533-position model. The record is from RNAcentral.
CGGGGUGGAGUAACGCGUGGGUAACCUGCCUCAUACAGGGGGAUAACAGUUAGAAAUGACUGCUAAUACCGCAUAAGCACACAGUACCGCAUGGUACAGUGUGAAAAACUCCGGUGGUAUGAGAUGGACCUGCGUCUGAUUAGCUAGUUGGCGGGGUAACGGCCCACCAAGGCGACGAUCAGUAGCCGACCUGAGAGGGUGACCGGCCACAUUGGGACUGAGACACGGCCCAA